This 614-nucleotide long non-coding RNA is filed under the name Homo sapiens (human). RNAcentral describes it as "HSALNT0226413". Lineage: Eukaryota; Metazoa; Chordata; Mammalia; Primates; Hominidae. The record is from RNAcentral.
CUUCACUUAAAGCCAGUGUGAUCACCAUGGCAACCGGCCUGUGUUUGUUCCAACAGGGCUGCGAGUGUCCAGCUGUAUUCGACCAAGGGCAGGUGCGACCGGGGGGCCGCUGCGCCCUCGGCAAGUCUGAGAGCCUCAGGCCCCCGACAGGACCAUGCUUAGCACGGACUUCUCAAAGUGUGGUCCCUGGACUGGCGGCAGCAGACUGGAGCUGGGAAGUGCAGGCGCUGGCUGGCGUGGGGACCACACCUGUGAUCUCAGCGCCUUAGGAGGCCGGGGAAGGGGGAUCCCUUGAGCCUGGGAGUUUGAGACCAGCCUGGGCAACAUAGGGAGACCCCCAUCUCCACAAAAGAAACCAAAAAACAUUAGCCGGCGGGUGGUCCCAGCUACUGGGGAGGCUGAAGCGGGAGGACCACUUGAGCCGGAGAGUUCGAGGUUGCAGCGAGUGGAGAUGGUGCCACUGCGCUCCAACCUGGUUGAGAGCUAUUUUUGAGAGCUUUUUCGAGACUCUGUCUGAAAAAAAAAGGGAAAAAACGCAGAUCGCGCCCCCACCCAGACUUCGGGACCAGCGGGUUGGGGACAGGACCCAUCAAUGCCUUAACAAACCCUGCAGG